Molecule: non-coding RNA, 130 nt
Filed under: Peptoniphilus obesi
Lineage: Bacteria; Bacillati; Bacillota; Tissierellia; Tissierellales; Peptoniphilaceae
Description: glmS glucosamine-6-phosphate activated ribozyme
Rfam family: glmS glucosamine-6-phosphate activated ribozyme aptamer
About the family: This entry contains a glucosamine-6-phosphate activated ribozyme that is found in the mRNA for GlmS. GlmS is an enzyme that uses fructose-6-phosphate and glutamine to generate glucosamine-6-phosphate. The ribozyme catalyses self cleavage of the glmS mRNA that is thought to regulate GlmS activity.
Source: RNAcentral
UAAAAUAAGCGCCAGGUCCUUAUGGGAUGACGAGGAGUGAAGUUAUCGAAAUAUUCGGCGGAUGCUUCAAAGGUCUCACAGCCUCAGUAUUCUUUAAAAAAUAAGAGAAAUUUUAUAACAAAGAGGAUAC